RNAcentral lists this ribosomal RNA (422 nucleotides) under uncultured bacterium. Its description in RNAcentral is "bacterial SSU rRNA". It matches the Rfam family "Bacterial small subunit ribosomal RNA", at positions 354 to 773 of the family's 1533-position model. The record is from RNAcentral.
GUGAGGAAUAUUGGGCAAUGCCCGCAAGGGUGACCCAGCAACGCCGCGUGGAGGAUGAAUGUCGUAAGAUUGUAAACUCCUGUUAGAGGGGAAGAAUAGUACCGGUUGGACCGGUAUAUGACUGUACCCUCAGAGAAAGCCCCGGCUAACUACGUGCCAGCAGCCGCGGUAAUACGUAGGGGGCAAGCGUUGUCCGGAUUUACUGGGUGUAAAGGGUGCUCAGGCGGAUUUGUAAGUCAGAGGUGAAAUCUUACAGCUUAACUGUGAAACUGCCUUUGAUACUGCAAGCCUAGAGUAUGGAAGAGAGUGAUGGAAUAUCUGGUGUAGCAGUGAAAUGCGUAGAUAUCAGAUAGAACACCAAUGGCGAAGGCAGUCACUUGGUCCAUUACUGACGCUAAAGCACGAAAGCGUGGGUAGCAAAC